Molecule: ribosomal RNA, 884 nt
Filed under: uncultured bacterium
Lineage: Bacteria
Description: bacterial SSU rRNA
Rfam family: Bacterial small subunit ribosomal RNA
Source: RNAcentral
UUAACUCUGGAACUGCCAUCAAAACUUUUUAGCUAGAGUAUGAUAGAGGAAAGCAGAAUUUCUAGUGUAGAGGUGAAAUUCGUAGAUAUUAGAAAGAAUACCAAUUGCGAAGGCAGCUUUCUGGAUCAUUACUGACACUGAGGAACGAAAGCAUGGGUAGCGAAGAGGAUUAGAUACCCUCGUAGUCCAUGCCGUAAACGAUGUGUGUUAGACGUUGGAAAUUUAUUUUCAGUGUCGCAGCGAAAGCAAUAAACACACCGCCUGGGGAGUACGACCGCAAGGUUAAAACUCAAAUGAAUUGACGGGGACCCGCACAAGUAGUGGAGCAUGUGGUUUAAUUCGAAGAUACGCGCAGAACCUUACCAACACUUGACAUGUUCGUCGCGACUUUAAGAGAUUAAAGUUUUCGGUUCGGCCGGACGAAACACAGGUGCUGCAUGGCUGUCGUCAGCUCGUGUCGUGAGAUGUUGGGUUAAGUCCCGCAACGAGCGCAACCCUCACUUUUAGUUGCCAUCAUUUAGUUGGGCACUCUGAAAGAACUGCCAGUGAUAAGCUGGAGGAAGGUGGGGAUGACGUCAAGUCCUCAUGGCCCUUACGUGUUGGGCUACACACGUGCUACAAUGGCAUUUACAAUAGGAAGCAAGACGGCGACGUCAAGCAAAUCCUAAAAAGAUGCCUCAGUUCGGAUUGUACUCUGCAACUCGAGUACAUGAAGCUGGAAUUACUAGUAAUCGCGGAUCAGCGCGCCGCGGUGAAUACGUUCCCGGGUCUUGUACACACCGCCCGUCACACCAUGGGAGUUGGUUCUACCUUAAGGCAAGGUUUUAAACCCUUGACUACGGUAUAGUCAGCGACUGGGGUGAAGUCAUAACAAGGUAACCGUA